CGCUGGGCCUCCGUGGGGGAGGGGCAGGCGAGAGCACGGUAAAUGGCGCUGUCGGUACUCAGUCACAUCCAGCUGCCCGGCGUGCCCGGCGAGCUCACCUGCUGACCUGGUCGUCCAAGAAACGCCGCUCUGGUUCUGAUCUCGCCAUGAAUUCCACCCUAUUGCCAGAAAUGGGCUGGUUUCCCUUUGUUGUGCAAAAUCACUGUGUCCUUGAGGAAUGUUUGGAGGGUCUUGGCAACCAGGAAUCAUCCAGAAGCAUAUCUGGUGUCAGCUCAGUUGUGUUGUCAACAUUUCAUUUGGAGUUACCUGACCUUCAGAAGAACUUCAUCCAAUAGCAGACGUGUAUAAACCUCAAGGGUCCUGUGUGAAAAGCUCCAGAUUGGGAACCAGAGGAGUUAUAUGCUUGCCUUCAUCCUUCCCAGGGAUGAUAUUGAAGUUACUUUACAACAGAUGUGGCACAGGUGUGGCAAAGGUUCCAACCCUGCAGAACAGAAGCUGCUCAAUGCUGGGGCAGGAGCGUGGAUAUUCCCUACCCGGUGGACCAGGAGUUUCCCAGCCACCAUAAAUGGAACAGUAUCAAGUUUCUGAACAUGGGAGGAAAAGAUGAUCACCUUCAGAAUAGUGGUCUGUAUAAAUACAGAUUUGUUUUUUUCCUUCCCUUUAAGGUAGCUAUUCUGACAACAGUUUAAAAAUACAGAUGUUGUUCCUUAGGAGUUGAAUUGAACUUGAAGGAGAUCGUUGACCUUAAUCAUCUUUGUAUACUUGUAUCUACUAGAUACUAGCAGACACUAAAGCACGUAUUUGCUAAAUCAAUGAUAACAUGAUAAAUCCAAGGACAUGAAGUAGCCUUCAGAAAAAUGAAAAAGAUAAAGCUUGCCCUCCUCUUAUGUAAUUGUGCACAUUUAUAAUACAUUUCACUGUGGCAUCUUUUCUGCAGUCUAUGGAAGUUCUAAAGUUUAACAGUGAAGUUGUAGAAAAUCUUUAAUAUUCUGACAAAUCUUAAAUUUUACAAAGAUGAAUGCUAAAGGAAAAGGGUUCAUGUUUUGAGUAACUUUUUAUUUUUAUAUCAUUUCUUCAAGAUUUCAUUUAUACCAGUAUUUUUAUGUUAUUAAUGGGAAAACAUCCUGUUCUCUAAGAAAUUCCUGACCAGUAUUUUAUCUAGCCUUAAGGGAAGGGCCAAGAAAAUGAACCAUAACAUUUUAUAGCAGGAAAGAAACUUGGAGAUAACCUAUACAAUUCCUCAUUUUAAAAAAUAGUAACAUCACUGAUGUAAUAAGGGAGUUGAAUGAUUUGUUCCAGUAAUGACAGAGUAAGAGUAGGAAUCAAAUCUAUUUGUUAGUCUAGAAUGCUAAGCAUGGAUAUGUAAGUACCAUUUCUAAUACGAGAUAAGGGCAACAGAGGCAAUGUCAUAUUAUUACCAACAAGUUGUGGGCCUGAUAAGUGGUAAACAUUGCACUACCUGCUUUACAUACAUUAUUUUAAAACAACACUUCCACAAGGGUAUUAUUAUUCUCAUUUUAGAGAUGAAGAAACACCAAGAAGCUGCUACUUGCUUAAAGCUUCUACAGCUCAAGUGGCAGCAAGAGGAUUUAAACCUAGGUAGGUCUGCUUUAGGGCCUGCACUCCUUUCCAUUAUUCCAUGCUGCUAUGGUAAAAAAUUCUGGCUCCCAUUAAAACUUGUUUUCCACUGCUGCUAGGUAAGAGCUGCUGAUAGAAAUCCUUAGAUACUUAUUGAAAGUGUAAGUACUAAAAGCAGUACUCUGCCACUUUAUGGUAAUAAUAGCAGAUAAAAAUUCAUUGGUCAUUAUUACUGUAUUCUGUUCAUACUGCUUUGUAAUCAUUCUAAGAAAACAAAAAAGUAAAAAAAUGAUAGAAAAGCUAGAACAAGAACUUCAAGUGCCAACUUUCUAUCUGGAAAAUCUCCAGAGCCAAACAUCUAGGAUGUUUACUUAACUAGCAGUAGCUAUGCAACCAUGCAGUCACAUUUUAGAAGCCCUUUGUGUAGCAACAGCUUCUCUAUAGACUUCUUAAUAUAGUAAAUCAAUUUCACCAUUUAUUCAAGGAUUAAAGAUGGGUGGGUGGGGGAAGAGAAACUCCCCAUCACUAACAACAACAACAAAAAAAUCCACAGUAUGUUAACACUAAUAAUUGAGUAAAUCCUAAUUCUUAGGUAGAAGUUAAAAAUAUUUAAAGUGUGAUUAAAUUGGGAUGUAACCUACAAAUUACCUACAUAAGUCUAAGUUUGGGUUUACAAAAUUCUCAGGGUAAACACUUGAGUGUCUAUUCCAUAACUGAGCUGAGUUCUGGAAAUACGAAUUAGGUAGGUAAACACACGUGGUUGAGCAGUAAGUUGAA
Long non-coding RNA from Acinonyx jubatus (cheetah), 2355 nucleotides. RefSeq lists it as uncharacterized. The record is from RefSeq and is a predicted model, not a curated record. The transcript has 5 exons. NCBI's taxonomy places the organism in Eukaryota, Metazoa, Chordata, Mammalia, Carnivora, Felidae.